This 253-nucleotide ribosomal RNA is filed under the name uncultured bacterium. Its description in RNAcentral is "partial 16S ribosomal RNA". It matches the Rfam family "Bacterial small subunit ribosomal RNA", at positions 524 to 776 of the family's 1533-position model. The record is from RNAcentral.
UACAGAGGUCCCAAGCGUUGUUCGGAUUCACUGGGCGUAAAGGGUGCGUAGGCGGUCGGGUAAGUCUGAUGUGAAAUCUCGGAGCUCAACUCCGAAACUGCAUUGGAUACUAUUCGGCUUGAGGUCUGGAGGGGGGACUGGAAUUCUCGGUGUAGCAGUGAAAUGCGUAGAUAUCGAGAGGAACACCAGUGGCGAAGGCGAGUCCCUGGACAGGUCCUGACGCUGAGGCGCGAAAGCUAGGGGAGCAAACGGG